AGCAGCCGCGGUAAUUCCAGCUCCAAUAGCGUAUAUUAAAGUUGUUGCAGUUAAAAAGCUCGUAGUUGAAUUUCGGGGUUAGUAGGCUGGUCAUGCCUCUGGUAUGUACUGGUCUCACUGAUUCCUCCUUCCUGAUGAGCUGUAAUGCCAUUAAUUUGGUGUUGCAGGGAAUCUGGACUGUUACUUUGAAAAAUUAGAGUGUUUAAAGCAGGCUAACGCUUGAAUACAUUAGCAUGGAAUAAUGAAAUAGGACGUUCGAUCCUAUUUUGUUGGUUUCUAGGAUUGACGUAAUGAUUAAUAGGGAUAGUUGGGGGCAUUAGUAUUCAAUUGUCAGAGGUGAAAUUCUUGGAUUUAUUGAAGACUAACUACUGCGAAAGCAUUUGCCAAGGAUGUUUUCAUUAAUCAAGAACGAAAGUUAGGGGAUCGAAGACGAUCAGAUACCGUCGUAGUCUUAACCAUAAACUAUGCCGACUAGGGAUCGGAUGAUGUAAUUUUUAAUGACU
Molecule: ribosomal RNA, 503 nt
Filed under: uncultured Glomus
Lineage: Eukaryota; Fungi; Glomeromycota; Glomeromycetes; Glomerales; Glomeraceae
Description: SSU rRNA
Rfam family: Eukaryotic small subunit ribosomal RNA
Source: RNAcentral